UACGGGGGGGGCAAGCGUUGUUCGGAAUUACUGGGCGUAAAGGGCUCGUAGGCGGCCAACUAAGUCAGACGUGAAAUCCCUCGGCUUAACCGGGGAACUGCGUCUGAUACUGGUUGGCUUGAAUCCGGGAGAGGGAUGUGGAAUUCCAGGUGUAGCGGUGAAAUGCGUAGAUAUUGGGAGGAACACCAGUGGCGAAGGCGGCUCACUGGACCGGUACUGACGCUGAGGCGCGAAAGCGUGGGGAGCAAACGGG
RNAcentral lists this ribosomal RNA (253 nucleotides) under uncultured bacterium. RNAcentral's name for it is "partial 16S ribosomal RNA". It matches the Rfam family "Bacterial small subunit ribosomal RNA", at positions 524 to 776 of the family's 1533-position model. The record is from RNAcentral.